RNAcentral lists this ribosomal RNA (511 nucleotides) under uncultured euryarchaeote. RNAcentral's name for it is "bacterial SSU rRNA". It matches the Rfam family "Archaeal small subunit ribosomal RNA", at positions 364 to 883 of the family's 1478-position model. Lineage: Archaea; Methanobacteriati; Methanobacteriota. The record is from RNAcentral.
AGUGUGACGGGGUUACCCAAAGUGUUCAAUUUUGAACUGUGGUAGGUGAGUAAUGUUCCUUACUAGAACGGAGAGGGCAAGGCUGGUGCCAGCCGCCGCGGUAAAACCAGCUCUUCAAGUGGUCGGGAUAAUUAUUGGGCUUAAAGUGUCCGUAGCCGGUUUAGUAAGUUCCUGGUAAAAUCGGGUAGCUUAACUAUCUGUAUGCUAGGAAUACUGCUAUGCUAGAGGGCGGGAGAGGUCUGAGGUACUACAGGGGUAGGGGUGAAAUCUUAUAAUCCUUGUAGGACCACCAGUGGCGAAGGCGUCAGACUGGAACGCGCCUGACGGUGAGGGACGAAAGCCAGGGGAGCGAACCGGAUUAGAUACCCGGGUAGUCCUGGCUGUAAACGAUGCAUACUAGGUGAUGGCACGGCCAUGAGCCGUGUCAGUGCCGAAGGGAAACCGUUAAGUGUGCCGCCUGGGAAGUACGGUCGCAAGGCUAGUGUGACGGAGUGUGACGGAGUGUGACGGA